AAAAAACUUCGGCAAGAACGUGGAGCUUGUGUGUGAGACUUGUGUGCUAACUUAGACCACAAGCCCCCUCACGGAGCCCUGUUUUUACGAACCCUGUGUGAACCGUAAUAUUUAUUCCAUCCACGUAAUACGAAAUUUCUAGUCUAAAGUCUUCUUCAUAUCACGAGAAUAUGAUAAAAA
Molecule: unclassified non-coding RNA, 180 nt
Filed under: soil metagenome
Description: partial internal transcribed spacer 1
Source: RNAcentral